Molecule: long non-coding RNA, 1035 nt
Organism: Magnolia sinica
Lineage: Eukaryota; Viridiplantae; Streptophyta; Magnoliopsida; Magnoliales; Magnoliaceae
Exons: 3
Source: RefSeq, a predicted model, not a curated record
GCCCUGCUCAUAUGACAUUGAUUUUAAAUCAAAAUCAUGUAGAAUCAUUGUAUAUGUGAAUUAUAGGGCCCAUGGUUCAAUUAUGCAGGCUGUUGAUCCGAUGGGUGCUCGAGAAAAUCUCCAGGCGAUAGGUCGAAAGCUUAUGUUCAUCCAACCUGGGAGUUUUUGGAGGAUCCCCUAUCCACGGUGGGGCCUAUCAAGUCAAUGGUCUGGAUCACCGAACCAUGGGCUAUAGGUUUGUAGGGAGUCAUAGAUCCAAUGCAAAUUCUUUCUACCUUAUAGGGCCAGAUGGACCCAACUAUUAUCAUGGUGCCAUUAGAUAGGAGUCCACUGUGGAUGUUGCAUGGCCCCAAUCUCACCACGAUUGGCUGAUCAAAUCCAUUCAAACAAGAGCCUACAAAAUGGAUUGUAAGAUCUUACUAUCCUUUUGCAUGGCCUUAUUGCAUGUCUGUAACUAUCUAAUCAUAGUUAUCCUUAAUUCAUGAGCAAUCUGUGGUGGAUUCCUCUUAUCCAAUGUUCUUUGCUGAUCAAAUGUAGGAUCACUUGGGUGGGCCCCACAUUAGUAAGGUUCAAAGAAUUUGAACUGGAUCAUAGACUUCUAAAGUCUAGAUACAUGGUAAUUUCCAUUGCAGAAUGCCUUAUAAGAUCCAUACCUUCACUGAGAACGAGAACAAGAUCACUGUCUAUAACCGUGUGGAUUCUAUGUGCUAUGGUUACCACCGUCUGAUCAUUGAACUCCGGACGAACGAUCUGCUGUAUAACACCAUCAGUCGCAGAGUCUACAGAGGCAGUUGCUUCAUCAAGGUUAAGAAUGCUGCUUCUCUUCAGCAAGGCUCUUCCAAGACAGAACAGCUGCCGCUGGCCGACACUCCAAUUUUGUCCGUUUUCGACCACUUUGGUGUAGAAUCGAAGAAAGACAUCGGUGCACGGAGGAUGCUAUGAAGCAUGUUGCUGAAGAACUUUUGUGAAGUAAGAAGGCUGGUUAUUGCUACUAGCAUUGAUCGGACGAGUACACACAGCGAACUUCCAACCGAG